CGCCCGGGGGGCCUACGGGAGGCAGCAGUGGGGAAUAUUGCACAAUGGGCGCAAGCCUGAUGCAGCCAUGCCGCGUGUAUGAAGAAGGCCUUCGGGUUGUAAAGUACUUUCAGCGGGGAGGAAGGGAGUAAAGUUAAUACCUUUGCUCAUUGACGUUACCCGCAGAAGAAGCACCGGCUAACUCCGUGCCAGCAGCCGCGGU
This 202-nucleotide ribosomal RNA is filed under the name uncultured Enterobacteriaceae bacterium. RNAcentral's name for it is "partial 16S ribosomal RNA". It matches the Rfam family "Bacterial small subunit ribosomal RNA", at positions 327 to 521 of the family's 1533-position model. The record is from RNAcentral. Lineage: Bacteria; Pseudomonadati; Pseudomonadota; Gammaproteobacteria; Enterobacterales; Enterobacteriaceae.